RNAcentral lists this ribosomal RNA (665 nucleotides) under Diaparsis sp. NHM670935. RNAcentral's name for it is "eukaryotic LSU rRNA". It matches the Rfam family "Eukaryotic large subunit ribosomal RNA", at positions 420 to 820 of the family's 3401-position model. The record is from RNAcentral. Lineage: Eukaryota; Metazoa; Arthropoda; Insecta; Hymenoptera; Ichneumonidae.
CCUGAGAAACCCAAAAGAUCGAAUGGGGAGAUUCAUCGUCAGCGGCUCCGGUGCGUGUGCGGUUCGGGAUUUCGCGGGGCUUCGGCCUCGCGGGACUCGUCCGCAUUGUUUAUUUAUGCCGGAGCUCGUCGGCGUGCACUUCUCCCCUAGUAGGACGUCGCGACCCGUUGGGUGUCGGUCUACGACCCGGGCGGGAGUCUGUCGUGCGUCGCGCUUCGCGGUGCGUCAUGCGGCAGACCCCCGGAUGUCCGACCGACUGCCCGGCGGUACUCGCACGGUAUCGGGCCGCAAUCUUUGAUUUGCGUCCGGCUUGUCGCAAGCGAGGUACAAGUUUUUCUCGGACGUACGGACCUCGUGCCGUCGCCGGGCUUGUCCAGCUGUUGGUCGACUUUGCUCUCGGACUGGCUCUCUUUUAUUUAUAUACCGGUCGGCGACGCUACUGCUUUGGGUACUUUCAGGACCCGUCUUGAAACACGGACCAAGGAGUCUAACAUGUGCGCGAGUCAUUGGGAUAUGUAAAGCCUAAGGGCGCAAUGAAAGUGAAGGUCGGCAUCGCGCCGACCGAGGGAGGAUGGGCAGCGUCACGAUGCUGUCCCGCACUCCCGGGGCGUCUCGUUCUCAUUGCGAGAAGAGGCGCACCCAGAGCGUACACGUUGGGACCCGAA